Molecule: ribosomal RNA, 421 nt
Filed under: uncultured microorganism
Description: bacterial SSU rRNA
Rfam family: Bacterial small subunit ribosomal RNA
Source: RNAcentral
GAGUUUGAUCCUGACUCAGAUUGAACGCUGGCGGCAUGCCUUACACAUGCAAGUCGAACGGCAGCAUGAUCUAGCUUGCUAGAUUGAUGGCGAGUGGCGAACGGGUGAGUAAUACAUCGGAACGUGCCCUGUAGUGGGGGAUAACUAGUCGAAAGAUUAGCUAAUACCGCAUACGACCUGAGGGUGAAAGUGGGGGACCGCAAGGCCUCAUGCUAUAGGAGCGGCCGAUGUCUGAUUAGCUAGUUGGUGGGGUAAAGGCCCACCAAGGCGACGAUCAGUAGCUGGUCUGAGAGGACGAUCAGCCACACUGGGACUGAGACACGGCCCAGACUCCUACGGGAGGCAGCAGUGGGGAAUUUUGGACAAUGGGCGAAAGCCUGAUCCAGCAAUGCCGCGUGUGUGAAGAAGGCCUCGGUGUAAG